GGGGAAUUUCCUGAAGCGGGGAAAUCUUUCCAGCGUGCAGACUCGCGCGCGCUGCAGCUGGGUGAAGAAACUCGGCACACGGUCACACAUCAGCAAAAUAAGCAUACAUGAUGAAACAUUUACAAAAAUGAAGGCCGAGCAUGUAACCAACCCAGUACAACAGUACCCAUAGCUAAACUUACUCCGUCUCAAUUAGCCUGUUACCUCCGGCAAUGCCCUGGUCACAAAACGAAGUAUUAAAUGUUUACAUGUGUAAAUCGAGGCUUCUGAAUUUCAAAUCCAGCUUGCUUUUAUAUUCAUGAAAUCUUGGAUGGCAACUGUAGACCAGAAUGUAAAGCUGUCUGUGGAAGAAACACAUCCUGAUCCAAGAUAUGUUCAGCUUCAGGAUGAGGAAGGUCAACAGACGCUUUUACAUCAGGAAAUUCAAGGGACCCUCAGUGUGCUAAGAUUCCCAGCUCUACAAGAGAGUCUUCAAACAGCCGGUCUGCCAUGAUGCUUGAUGAGGAAUGCCUCAUCAACUUGCCUUAGAAGAUGGAUCACUGCCAUCAGCAGAGUAUUCAGACCGUAAUGUGCAGUUAUCCGUGGAAGAAACGGUGCUGUGUUCUCAUCUAAGCUCCGUGCAGCCCUGGGUUCUGAAUGAAGAUGACGGAGGAAUGAUUUUGCACCACAUUCAACCACGCAGUUAGGCCUGUCGAUGUCAC
This is a long non-coding RNA of Ictalurus punctatus (channel catfish), 701 nucleotides long. The record is from Ensembl. Lineage: Eukaryota; Metazoa; Chordata; Actinopteri; Siluriformes; Ictaluridae.